UUUAAAAAUAAUUUAUUUAUUUAUUGUUUUAGUAUUAAGUAAAAAUUAAUUUUAAGAUUUAUAGUUAAUUAGUAUUGUAAAAGAAUUUAUUUAAAUUAUAAAAAGAAUUUUUAAUAGUACCUUUUGUAUCAGGGUUGAUUAAAAAUUUUUAAUUAUUUUAAAUUUCUCAAAAUUUAUGGAGUUAAUUUUAUUAUAAAUUUAUUGUGGUAUAAAUAUUUAUUAAAUAAUAUUAGUUUUGAAAUUUAAUUCGUUAUAAAAUAUUUAGUUAUUUAAGAUUUAAAUUUAAUUUAAAAAUUUAAAGGUUUAAUUAUUUUAGAUAAAUAAUAUAAUUUUAAAUUUAAAUUAUUUUAGGGAUAAGCUUGAAAUUUAUAUAUAAUUUUUCUUUUUUUAAUAAUAUAUAGGAAUAGAAAUUUUUAUUUUAAGUUUGUAAAAAUUUAUUAUUUUUAAAUAUUUUAUUUACUAUAAAUUAAAAUUUAUUUUUAAUAUUAAAUUAUAUUAAUUAAUAAAUAAUUAAUAGUAAUAAUGAUUAAAUUAGUAUAAUAUGUAAUUAUAAAUUAUGAAUUCGGCAAAUAAUAUUUUCAUCUGUUUAACAAAAACAUUGUAUUAAGUUUUAUUUAAUAUAGGAUCUGCUCAAUGAUUUUAUUAAAUAGCUGCAGUAUUUUGACUGUGCAAAG
RNAcentral lists this ribosomal RNA (674 nucleotides) under Eriosoma lanigerum (woolly apple aphid). RNAcentral's name for it is "partial 16S large subunit ribosomal RNA". Lineage: Eukaryota; Metazoa; Arthropoda; Insecta; Hemiptera; Aphididae. The record is from RNAcentral.